AGAGUUUGAUCAUGGCUCAGAUUGAACGCUGGCGGCAGGCCUAACACAUGCAAGUCGAGCGGUAGCACAGAGAGCUUGCUCUCGGGUGACGAGCGGCGGACGGGUGAGUAAUGUCUGGGAAACUGCCUGAUGGAGGGGGAUAACUACUGGAAACGGUAGCUAAUACCGCAUAAUGUCGUAAGACCAAAGUGGGGGACCUUCGGGCCUCAUGCCAUCAGAUGUGCCCAGAUGGGAUUAGCUAGUAGGUGGGGUAACGGCUCACCUAGGCGACGAUCCCUAGCUGGUCUGAGAGGAUGACCAGCCACACUGGAACUGAGACACGGUCCAGACUCCUACGGGAGGCAGCAGUGGGGAAUAUUGCACAAUGGGCGCAAGCCUGAUGCAGCCAUGCCGCGUGUGUGAAGAAGGCCUUCGGGUUGUAAAGCACUUUCAGCGGGGAGGAAGGCGUUAAGGUUAAUAACCUUGGCGAUUGACGUUACCCGCAGAAGAAGCACCGGCUAACUCCGUGCCAGCAGCCGCGGUAAUACGGAGGGUGCAAGCGUUAAUCGGAAUUACUGGGCGUAAAGCGCACGCAGGCGGUCUGUCAAGUCGGAUGUGAAAUCCCCGGGCUCAACCUGGAACUGCAUUCGAAACUGGCAGGCUAGAGUCUUGUAGAGGGGGGUAGAAUUUCCAGGUGUAGCGGUGAAAUGCGUU
This 693-nucleotide ribosomal RNA is filed under the name Klebsiella sp. SW2. RNAcentral describes it as "bacterial SSU rRNA". It matches the Rfam family "Bacterial small subunit ribosomal RNA", at positions 8 to 692 of the family's 1533-position model. The record is from RNAcentral. Lineage: Bacteria; Pseudomonadati; Pseudomonadota; Gammaproteobacteria; Enterobacterales; Enterobacteriaceae.